Molecule: ribosomal RNA, 637 nt
Filed under: uncultured Bacilli bacterium
Lineage: Bacteria; Bacillati; Bacillota; Bacilli
Description: bacterial SSU rRNA
Rfam family: Bacterial small subunit ribosomal RNA
Source: RNAcentral
GUUGCGAACGGGUGAGUAACGCGUAGGUAACCUGCCUGGUAGCGGGGGAUAACUAUUGGAAACGAUAGCUAAUACCGCAUAACAGUAGAUAUUGCAUGAUAUCUGCUUGAAAGGGGCAAUUGCUCCACUACCAGAUGGACCUGCGUUGUAUUAGCUAGUUGGUGAGGUAACGGCUCACCAAGGCGACGAUACAUAGCCGACCUGAGAGGGUGAUCGGCCACACUGGGACUGAGACACGGCCCAGACUCCUACGGGAGGCAGCAGUAGGGAAUCUUCGGCAAUGGGGGGAACCCUGACCGAGCAACGCCGCGUGAGUGAAGAAGGUUUUCGGAUCGUAAAGCUCUGUUGUAAGAGAAGAACGAGUGUGAGAGUGGAAAGUUCACACUGUGACGGUAUCUUACCAGAAAGGGACGGCUAACUACGUGCCAGCAGCCGCGGUAAUACGUAGGUUCCGAGCGUUAUCCGGAUUUAUUGGGCGUAAAGCGAGCGCAGGCGGUUAGAUAAGUCUGAAGUUAAAGGCUGUGGCUUAACCAUAGUACGCUUUGGAAACUGUUUAACUUGAGUGCAAGAGGGGAGAGUGGAAUUCCAUGUGUAGCGGUGAAAUGCGUAGAUAUAUGGAGGAACACCGGUGGCGAAA